This is a small nuclear RNA of Ailuropoda melanoleuca (giant panda), 109 nucleotides long. NCBI's taxonomy places the organism in Eukaryota, Metazoa, Chordata, Mammalia, Carnivora, Ursidae. The record is from Ensembl.
AGUAGCACACAGGUGCUCACUUUGGGCUAAAACUGCAACGACGCACAGAAGCUUCGCCUGGCCUUUGUGCCAGGAUGACACACCGAUUUGUGAAGCAUCCCGUAUUUUU